AGCAGCCGCGGUAAUUCCAGCUCCAAUAGCGUACAUUAAAGUUGUUGCAGUUAAAAAGCUCGUAGUUGAAUUUCGGGAUCAGUACGCCGGUCGUGCCUCCGGUAUGUACUGGUGUCACUGAUUCCUCCCUUCUGAAGAACUAUCAUGCCAUUAACUUGGUGUGGUGGGGAAUCAGGACUGUUACUUUGAAAAAAUUGAGUGUUCAAAGCAGGCUCGCGCUUGAAUACAUUAGCAUGGAAUAAUGAAAAUAGGACGUUUAUCCUAUUUUGUUGGUUUCUAGGAUUUGACGUAAUGAUUAAUAGGGAUAGUUGGGGGCAUUAGUAUUCAAUUGUCAGAGGUGAAAUUCUUGGAUUUAUUGAAGACUAACUACUGCGAAAGCAUUUGCCAAGGAUGUUUUCAUUAAUCAAGAACGAAAGUUAGGGGAUCGAAGACGAUCAGAUACCGUCGUAGUCUUAACCAUAAACUAUGCCGACUAGGGAUCGGGAUGAUGUUAAUUUUUANGUACUCAUUCGGCG
Molecule: ribosomal RNA, 515 nt
Filed under: uncultured Glomus
Lineage: Eukaryota; Fungi; Glomeromycota; Glomeromycetes; Glomerales; Glomeraceae
Description: SSU rRNA
Rfam family: Eukaryotic small subunit ribosomal RNA
Source: RNAcentral